RNAcentral lists this unclassified non-coding RNA (169 nucleotides) under soil metagenome. RNAcentral's name for it is "partial contains 5.8S ribosomal RNA, internal transcribed spacer 2, and large subunit ribosomal RNA". The record is from RNAcentral.
AAGACUAUAGACCUGCGGAGUACCUGCGGAGGGAUCAUUAGUGAACGCCCUCACGGGCUUAUAACUGUUCCAAACCUCUGUGAACCGUGCCCUUCGGGGCUAUUUUACAAACAUGGUGUAAUGAACGUCAUAUAUCAUAACAAAACAAAACUUUCAGCAAUGGAUCUCU